RNAcentral lists this unclassified non-coding RNA (946 nucleotides) under Hevea brasiliensis (rubber tree). Lineage: Eukaryota; Viridiplantae; Streptophyta; Magnoliopsida; Malpighiales; Euphorbiaceae. The record is from RNAcentral.
GCAAAAGCAAAACACUCACCAAAUUCACCCUUUUUUCUAUACCCUUAAACUCCUUAGCCGCAAUUGCUGUUUCAAGAUUGUGUUUUUUUUAGUACCCUUUUGUUAAUUUUCAUUGUUUCUUGAUUUUGCAACUUGAAAAAUGGUUGUGGGUGUUCUUGCUUUACAGGGAUCUUUCAAUGAACACAUUGCAGUUUUGAAAAGAUUGGGAGUGAAAGGUGUGGAGGUGAGAAAGCCAGAGCAGUUGCUGAAUGUUAGCUCCCUAAUCAUCCCUGGUGGGGAGAGCACCACCAUGGCCAAGUUGGCUGAGCUCCACAAUUUGUUCCCUGCUUUGCGUGAGUUUGUUCAAAUGGGGAAGCCAGUAUGGGGGACAUGUGCAGGUCUCAUUUUCUUGGCAAAUAAGGCCACUGGGCAGAAAACCGGAGGACAGAAACUAAUUGGAGGCCUUGAUUGUACUGUACACCGUAACUUUUUUGGAAGCCAGAUUCAAAGCUUUGAGACAGAACUUCCUAUUCCUCAAGUCGUAGCUGAAGAUGGUGGUCCUCCAAGUUUUCGUGCUGUUUUCAUCCGUGCUCCGGCAAUCCUUGAUGUAGGACCAGACGUUGAAGUAUUGUCAGACAUUCCUCUAUCAGCCAUAGAAACUCUUAAUUCCAAUCCUGCUAUUCAAAAGGAAGAGGAAUCUACCGAGUCUGGAAAGAAAGUAAUUGUUGCUGUAAAGCAAGGGAACUUACUAGCUACUGCUUUUCAUCCCGAAUUAACUGCAGAUACUCGAUGGCACAGUUAUUUCUUGAAGAUGGUGCCUGAAAUCGAAGGAGGAACUUCUGAUAUUGUGUCAACAUCCACCUCAAAUCAAAGCUUCGGAACGCGUUCAAUUAUUGAUUUUCCCAUAUACCAGUAGCAGAAAAAAAAAUUGCUUCAAAGAAAUGCAGAUCAUGUUAAAAGGUCAAAU